RNAcentral lists this ribosomal RNA (253 nucleotides) under uncultured bacterium. RNAcentral's name for it is "partial 16S ribosomal RNA". It matches the Rfam family "Bacterial small subunit ribosomal RNA", at positions 524 to 776 of the family's 1533-position model. The record is from RNAcentral.
UACAGAGACUGCAAGCGUUGUUCGGAAUUACUGGGCGUAAAGGGCUCGUAGGCGGCCAACUAAGUCGGACGUGAAAUCCCCAGGCUCAACCUGGGAACUGCGUCCGAUACUGGAUGGCUUGAAUUCGGGAGAGGGAUGCAGAAUUCCAGGUGUAGCGGUGAAAUGCGUAGAUAUCUGGAGGAAUACCGGUGGCGAAGGCGGCAUCCUGGACCGACAUUGACGCUGAGGAGCGAAAGCCAGGGGAGCAAACGGG